RNAcentral lists this ribosomal RNA (305 nucleotides) under uncultured bacterium. Its description in RNAcentral is "bacterial SSU rRNA". It matches the Rfam family "Bacterial small subunit ribosomal RNA", at positions 337 to 660 of the family's 1533-position model. The record is from RNAcentral.
UCCUACGGGGGCAGCAGUGGGGAAUAUUGCACAAUGGGGGGAACCCUGAUGCAGCGACGCCGCGUGGGCGAUGGAGUAUUUCGGUAUGUAAAGCCCUAUCGGCAGGGAAGAAGCUGACAGUACCUGACUAAGAAGCCCCGGCUAACUACGUGCCAGCAGCCGCGGUAAUACGUAGGGGGCAAGCGUUAUCCGGAUUUACUGGGUGUAAAGGGAGCGUAGACGGCAGUGCAAGUCUGGAGUGAAAGGCGGGGGCUCAACCCCCGGACUGCUCUGGAAACUGUACGGCUGGGGUGCAGGAGAGGGAA